Molecule: ribosomal RNA, 391 nt
Filed under: uncultured soil bacterium
Lineage: Bacteria
Description: bacterial SSU rRNA
Rfam family: Bacterial small subunit ribosomal RNA
Source: RNAcentral
UCCUACGGGAGGCAGCAGUGGGGAAUCUUGCACAAUGGGGGAAACCCUGAUGCAGCGACGCCGCGUGAGCGAUGAAGCCCUUCGGGGUGUAAAGCUCAUUUCGGCAGGGAAGAUGAUGACGGUACCUGCAGAAGCAGCUGCGGCUAACUACGUGCCAGCAGCCGCGGUAAUACGUAGGCAGCAAGCGUUGUUCGGAGUUACUGGGCGUAAAGGGUGUGUAGGCGGUUUGGUAAGUCUGGUGUGAAAUCUCCCGGCUCAACUGGGAGGGUGCGCCGGAAACUGCCGGACUCGAGUGCGGGAGAGGAGAGUGGAAUUCCUGGUGUAGCGGUGAAAUGCGUAGAUAUCAGGAGGAACACCGGUGGUGUAGACGGCUCUCUGGACCGUAACUGAC